CCUCUUCCUCCCAAACCCUAACUCAAGCUAAAUGAGAAGAAAGGAAUCUGCCAAAAAAAACCCCGUGGGCUUAGACUCAGGUGACGAGCUAUCAAUGAGAUGGUAUUGUGCGAACAAUUGCCCCUAACAAUUCUUGAACCUCCAAUAGUAGUGGAGGAGCAAGCCCCAUUCCCCAAUACAAGUGACCCAACAACGACAGGUCAUCAAUGUCGAAGCCAUGUGAUAGAUAUUCCUCACUCUCCAACUAGAGGGCUUAUCAUUCAAAACCCCACACCAAGCCAUAUAAUCUCACAACUGGAUUCAUAACAGCCAAAAACAGAAGAACUUGUGGUUAAAGACGUGGAAGUAGAACGAACCCAAAAGAGAGCUUGAGUUAGAAAGGGCAAAUAUGUUCUCCUACCUCU
RNAcentral lists this long non-coding RNA (404 nucleotides) under Carica papaya (papaya). RNAcentral's name for it is "long non-coding RNA (CPAP_LNC002029)". Lineage: Eukaryota; Viridiplantae; Streptophyta; Magnoliopsida; Brassicales; Caricaceae. The record is from RNAcentral.